GUUUUACUUAACUUAAUGAAAGAAAUUUUAAUCUUUCAGUUUCGACCACAUUUGGUCACCGAAAACUCUCCCGAACUGUAAUCUCUAGCAGAUAGCAGUCGGAUUUUAUUUUCCACUUUUCAGGUCUCAGAAUGACAUGAAACUUUAAAUCUAGCCUCAUAAAAAUAAUUCUGAUAUAUUCUCUGGUUUUCAUAAUUUUCUGACACUGUGCAUUUUCUGCUAAAAUAUCAGUCCCGUUUCGCACAGAAAAUUCUAAAUCUUCUGUUUUCGUUCCGAUUUCAGUACGAGUCAUUUCAGACUUAUAUUUCAUUUCUCUAAAUCCAAUAAAAAUAGUAUCUCACACUAUUUUUAUUUAUUUUUUUACUUUUAUAUUAAAAUCCAGUAUGUUACACACUAGCCGACAAUCCUACCCCUCAGGAUAUACCGACCUCAUA
This 434-nucleotide long non-coding RNA is filed under the name Ananas comosus (pineapple). Its description in RNAcentral is "long non-coding RNA (ACOM_LNC013652)". Lineage: Eukaryota; Viridiplantae; Streptophyta; Magnoliopsida; Poales; Bromeliaceae. The record is from RNAcentral.